UAGGUUUCCUCUGCUUUUGCUUCUUUAUUGAGUUAGCGGCGGACGGGUGAGUAACACGUGGGUAACCUGCCCAUAAGACUGGGAUAACUCCGGGAAACCGGGGCUAAUACCGGAUAACAUUUUGAACCGCAUGGUUCGAAAUUGAAAGGCGGCUUCGGCUGUCACUUAUGGAUGGACCCGCGUCGCAUUAGCUAGUUGGUGAGGUAACGGCUCACCAAGGCAACGAUGCGUAGCCGACCUGAGAGGGUGAUCGGCCACACUGGGACUGAGACACGGCCCAGACUCCUACGGGAGGCAGCAGUAGGGAAUCUUCCGCAAUGGACGAAAGUCUGACGGAGCAACGCCGCGUGAGUGAUGAAGGCUUUCGGGUCGUAAAACUCUGUUGUUAGGGAAGAACAAGUGCUAGUUGAAUAAGCUGGCACCUUGACGGUACCUAACCAGAAAGCCACGGCUAACUACGUGCCAGCAGCCGCGGUAAUACGUAGGUGGCAAGCGUUAUCCGGAAUUAUUGGGCGUAAAGCGCGCGCAGGUGGUUUCUUAAGUCUGAUGUGAAAGCCCACGGCUCAACCGUGGAGGGUCAUUGGAAACUGGGAGACUUGAGUGCAGAAGAGGAAAGUGGAAUUCCAUGUGUAGCGGUGAAAUGCGUAGAGAUAUGGAGGAACACCAGUGGCGAAGGCGACUUUCUGGUCUGUAACUGACACUGAGGCGCGAAAGCGUAGGGAGCAAACAGGAUUAGAUACCCUGGUAGUCCACGCCGUAAACGAUGAGUGCUAAGUGUUAGAGGGUUUCCGCCCUUUAGUGCUGAAGUUAACGCAUUAAGCACUCCGCCUGGGGAGUACGGCCGCAAGGCUGAACUCAAAGGAAUUGACGGGGGCCCGCACAAGCUGUGGAGCAUGUGGUUUAAUUCGAAGCAACGCGAAGAACCUUACCAGUCUUGACAUCCUCUGAAAACCCUAGAGAUAGGGCUUCUCUUCGGGAGCAGAGUGACAGGUGGUGCAUGGUUGUUCGUCAGCUCGUGUCGUGAAGAUGUGGGGUUAAGUCCCGCAACGAGCGCACCUUUGAUCUUUAGUGCAAUCAUUAAGUUGGCACCUCCUAGGUGACUGCAGGUGAACAACGGAGAGGUGGGGAUGAUCGUCAAAUCAUCAUGCCAUAUGUGACCUGGCUUACCAUGUGCUUACAUGAACGGGUUACAAGAGCUGCGUACUGCAAGGUGGAAGCUAAUUCUCUUAAAACGGUUCUCUCAGAUCUGCGAAUG
RNAcentral lists this ribosomal RNA (1255 nucleotides) under Bacillus sp. (in: firmicutes). Its description in RNAcentral is "bacterial SSU rRNA". It matches the Rfam family "Bacterial small subunit ribosomal RNA", at positions 68 to 1307 of the family's 1533-position model. The record is from RNAcentral. Lineage: Bacteria; Bacillati; Bacillota; Bacilli; Caryophanales; Bacillaceae.